RNAcentral lists this ribosomal RNA (439 nucleotides) under uncultured bacterium. RNAcentral describes it as "bacterial SSU rRNA". It matches the Rfam family "Bacterial small subunit ribosomal RNA", at positions 958 to 1398 of the family's 1533-position model. The record is from RNAcentral.
AACGCGAAGAACCUUACCUGGGCUUGACAUCCCUUGACAAUCUUAGAAAUAAGACUUUGUAGCAAUACACAAGGAGACAGGUGCUGCAUGGCUGUCGUCAGCUCGUGUUGUGAAAUGUUGGGUUAAGUCCCGCAACGAGCGCAACCCCUGGAUUUAGUUGCCAGCAUUAAGUUGGGCACUCUAAAUCAACUGCCAGCGUUAAGCUGGAGGAAGGUGGGGAUGACGUCAAGUCCUCAUGGCCCUUACGCCCAGGGCUACACACGUAAUACAAUGGAUAGGACAAAGGGUCGCGAACCAGCAAUGGGGAGCUAAUCUCAAAAACCUAUCCUCAGUUCGGAUUGGGGGCUGCAAUUCGCCCCCAUGAAGGCGGAAUCGCUAGUAAUCGUGGAUCAGAACGCCACGGUGAAUACGUUCCCGGGCCUUGUACACACCGGAGUGC